GAUGAACGCUGGCGGCGUGCCUAAUACAUGCCAGUCGAGCGAACGGACGAGAAGCUUGCUUCUCUGAUGUUAGCGGCGGACGGGUGAGUAACACGUGGAUAACCUACCUAUAAGACUGGGAUAACUUCGGGAAACCGGAGCUAAUACCGGAUAAUAUUUUGAACCGCAUGGUUCAAAAGUGAAACACGGUCUUGCUGUCACUUAUAGAUGGAUCCGCGCUGCAUUAGCUAGUUGGUAAGGUAACGGCUUACCAAGGCAACGAUGCAUAGCCGACCUGAGAGGGUGAUCGGCCACACUGGAACUGAGACACGGUCCAGACUCCUACGGGAGGCAGCAGUAGGGAAUCUUCCGCAAUGGGCGAAAGCCUGACGGAGCAACGCCGCGUGAGUGAUGAAGGUCUUCGGAUCGUAAAACUCUGUUAUUAGGGAAGAACAUAUGUGUAAGUAACUGUGCACAUCUUGACGGUACCUAAUCAGAAAGCCACGGCUAACUACGUG
This 497-nucleotide ribosomal RNA is filed under the name uncultured bacterium. Its description in RNAcentral is "partial 16S ribosomal RNA". It matches the Rfam family "Bacterial small subunit ribosomal RNA", at positions 28 to 507 of the family's 1533-position model. The record is from RNAcentral.